GAUGAACGCUAGCUACAGGCUUAACACAUGCAAGUCGAGGGGAAACGACAUCGAAAGCUUGCUUUUGGUGGGCGUCGACCGGCGCACGGGUGAGUAACGCGUAUCCAACCUGCCCACCACUUGGGGAUAACCUUGCGAAAGUAAGACUAAUACCCAAUGAUAUCCCACGAAGGCAUCCGAAUGGGAUUAAAGAUUUAUCGGUGAUGGAUGGGGAUGCGUCUGAUUAGCUUGUUGGCGGGGUAACGGCCCACCAAGGCUACGAUCAGUAGGGGUUCUGAGAGGAAGGUCCCCCCACAUUGGAACUGAGACACGGUCCAAACUCCUACGGGAGGCAGCAGUGAGGAAUAUUGGUCAAUGGGCGAGAGCCUGAACCAGCCAAGUAGCGUGCAGGAUGACGGCCCUAUGGGUUGUAAACUGCUUUUAUGCGGGGAUAAAGUGGGCCACGCGUGGCCUUUUGCAGGUACCGCAUGAAUAAGGACCGGCUAAUUCCGUG
RNAcentral lists this ribosomal RNA (493 nucleotides) under uncultured bacterium. Its description in RNAcentral is "bacterial SSU rRNA". It matches the Rfam family "Bacterial small subunit ribosomal RNA", at positions 28 to 507 of the family's 1533-position model. The record is from RNAcentral.